GACGAACCGUGCGAACGUUGUUCGGAAUCACUGGGCUUAAAGGGCGCGUAGGCGGCCCACCAAGUCCGGGGUGAAAUCCUCCGGCUUAACCGGAGAAUUGCCUGGGAUACUGGUGGUCUUGAGGGAGGUAGGGGCACGCGGAACUUCCGGUGGAGCGGUGAAAUGCGUUGAUAUCGGAAGGAACGCCGGUGGCGAAAGCGGCGUGCUGGACCUCUUCUGACGCUGAGGCGCGAAAGCCAGGGGAGCGAACGGG
RNAcentral lists this ribosomal RNA (253 nucleotides) under uncultured bacterium. RNAcentral describes it as "partial 16S ribosomal RNA". It matches the Rfam family "Bacterial small subunit ribosomal RNA", at positions 524 to 776 of the family's 1533-position model. The record is from RNAcentral.